This 528-nucleotide ribosomal RNA is filed under the name Chrysomela interna. RNAcentral's name for it is "partial 12S ribosomal RNA". The record is from RNAcentral. Lineage: Eukaryota; Metazoa; Arthropoda; Insecta; Coleoptera; Chrysomelidae.
AAAUAAUACAAUUAAAUUAUUUUAGUUUUAAUUAAUUGAUAAUUUUGAAUUUAAAUUAUAAAUUUAAUAAGUGAAAUUUUAAAUUUUAUAAAGAUUUAUAUUUUGUUAAUGAUUUAAGAAAUUUUAAUAAUAGACUAGGAUUAGAUACCCUAUUAUUUAAAAUGUAAUUUUAAAAGCUAAAUUAGUAUAAGAUAUGUUCUCGAAAAUUAAAGAUUUUGGCGGUAUUUUAGUCUAUUCAGAGGAACCUGUUCUAUAAUUGAUAAUCCACGAUUUAAUUUACUUGCUUUAUUAAUUUAUAUAUCGUCGUAGUUUGAAUAUUUUAGUAGAAUUUUAAUAUUCAAGAUUUUUAAUAAUAAAAAAAAUCAGAUCAAGGUGUAGUUUAUAAGUAAGAAGAAAUGGGUUACUAUAAUAAAAAUUUAGGAUAAUUAUUUUUGAAUAUAAUUUGAAUAAGGAUUUGAAGGUAAUUUUAAUUAAUUAAUUAAAAUGAUUUUAGCUCUAAAAUAUGUACACAUCGCCCGUCACUCUUAC